UCGCGCCCCAGUGGUGAUUUGGCCGGUCUGGUUGCAGCCACUUUAAACAAGUUGCUAAGAGACCGUUUCAACCGGCCG
Molecule: non-coding RNA, 78 nt
Filed under: Devosia limi
Lineage: Bacteria; Pseudomonadati; Pseudomonadota; Alphaproteobacteria; Hyphomicrobiales; Devosiaceae
Also listed under: 1 other name
Source: RNAcentral